CGGCGAUACCUAAAGCCCACCGGCAUAUCUAUCCGAUCUCGGCAGUCGAUCGCACGCGCGAAAAGCUUUGCGGAUGUCACUCGCGCCUGCAACGGUGCAAUGAUCCUGAAUGUAACAGAUCGGGUGUGACCUCCUUUGGGGUCUUACCCCGUCAUCGUUUCCUCGGGACCAGUGUUGGCUCUCGCGUGUUCGUGAGUGUAGUUCCCGGUGGUCCGCGCCAAAGCAUUGUCGUGUGUCGCGAUGCGCUAUCAAACGAUUUGCACGUGCUUCGAUAAUCGUUUGCGAGGAGAAGUGUCAGUUUAAUUCCGGAGAACGUAAACGAAAGAAAGCAAAGCAGAAGAUAAGAAGAACGGAGAAUCAAGGAUUUUUAUACUAUUCCUACGACGCGAUAAAAAUUGGACGUUACUAUCGGACGUUGAUAUCUGAAUAAAUCGAGAUGAUUCACAUGGAAAGAUGCAACACAGCCAUGAAGGCCGCGGGAUGAAGAUUCGCAAGAUCUAUCCCGAUAUCCGUCGCGUUACGGAGGAAGACAUCUCACGAAAUCUCGAAGCUACGUGCUUUUGAAGCUCGAAGGAUGUCUUUAGGACAACGCAUUUCCGGCGCUGUUGCGGUUCUCCGCGGAACCUCGACGGAUGCCAAGGAGGGUGGCCACACGUCAUGCACAGAGGAGGAUAUCGAGAAGAUGACAUCCGAGGAAGAGGUCGAGGUGAAAGCGCAGCGUAAAGUAACGGCGCUCGACAGAUUACAGAUGGUGAUAGAAUGGAUGGGAAAUAAUUUGCUUCUGGCACUGACCAUCGCUGGAGUUUUGGUGGGACUAGGUCUCGGGUUUCUGGGGCGAUUGGCCAAUCUCACCCCGCAAUCUAUAACUCUCGUCAGUUUUCCGGGAGAGAUCCUUAUGCGGAUGUUGAAGAUGUUUAUCUUGCCACUCAUCAUCUCGUCGCUAAUCUCGGGAAUGGCACAACUAGACGUUCAAAGAUCAGGAAGAAUAGGGGUCAGAGCGUUAACAUACUACUCGAUAACAACCAUUCUCGCCGCCAUAGUGGGUAUCGCGAUGGUAUUGAUGAUCCAUCCCGGUGACCCACGAAUCAAAACUACGGUUGCGGCGGUUGUGAAAGCCGAGGAGGCGAAAGUUUCCACUGUAGACGCGAUCCUCGAUAUAAUUCGAAACAUGGUGCCGGAGAACCUGGUACAAGCAUGCUUCCAGCAAGUUCAGACUUCCUACGUGAAGAAGAAAGUGGUCGUAAUCGGCAAUUUGAAUCAGAGCGAAUAUAUACUAGAGCCGACCUUGGUUUACAAGGACGGCACGAACGUAAUGGGCAUGAUUGUGUUCUGCAUUAUCUUUGGCGUGCUCGCGGGCCAGAUAGGACCUCGCGGCAAGCUGAUGGUGGACUUUUUCGUGGUGCUAAACGAGAUUAUCAUGAAACUCGUCACGAUCAUCGUGGUCUGGUAUUCUCCGUUCGGAAUUAUGUGUCUGAUAGCUGGAAAAAUUAUGUCUAUUGCAAAUCUGGCGGCAACUGCUCAAAUGUUAGGUCUAUACAUGGUAACAGUUAUAUUGGGCUUGAUGAUUCACGCGAUUAUCACAUUGCCGAUGAUCUAUUGGUUUAUGACUCGAAAGAAUCCAGCUGUAUUCUUUAGAGGCAUGAUGCAAGCCUGGGUGACUGCGCUGGGUACAGCUUCGAGUGCAGCAACUUUGCCUAUAACUUUUCGUUGUCUCGAAGAAAACAAUAAGAUUGAUACACGAGUGACACGUUUCGUCGUGGCAGUCGGUGCUACCGUAAAUAUGGAUGGCACGGCUCUUUACGAAGCCGUGGCUGCGAUAUUUAUCGCACAAUUGAAUGGAAUCUCAUUAGGAUUCGUUGAAGUUAUUACGGUCAGCCUUACAGCUACCUUGGCAAGCGUCGGGGCUGCAAGCAUCCCCAGCGCUGCAUUAGUCACCAUGCUGUUGGUGCUAACCGCCUUGGGCCUUCCUACGAAUGAUGUUUCUCUAUUGUUCGCUAUCGAUUGGAUGCUUGAUCGGAUCAGGACUUCGAUCAACGUUCUGGGCGAUGGUUACGGGGCCGGAAUAGUUUAUCACUUAAGCAAAGCGGAACUAGAUAAGAUGGACGAGGAGCGAAGAUUGGAAGCCUUGGAAAUUGGAAGACCCUUCGAAAUUGUCACCGAAAGCCGUCAACAAGAGACAAUAGCGCACGAACAAACUUCCGAGACAAAAAUUUGAACCCUUGCACUUUCUUAGCAAAGUCAUGAUGCUAUUUCAUCGUACGAUUGAUUUUCACUGCCGAAAUCGAAAUAUUAAAGAUACAAAUUUUAUCUAAUGAUAUAUAUUAAUAUAUGACUUUUUGUUUUUGUAGCGAGCGUUAGCAGCGAUAGAAGACGAAUGAAUUAAAAGUAUUAAAUGUUAAAGUAGAAAAUGUGAGCAUGUUAAGUACAAAAAAUGUAUUUUUUUCUAGUGUGAGAAUUCUUCUUCUACUUUGGAAUAUUAAAGAAUAUUAAUAUAUCAGAAUAAUAAUGUACAGUAAAAUAGAAAUAUAAGAUAUAGUAAAUUAUUAGUAAUUGUAUCAGAUGCAAGCAAAUAAUCCUCAAAGUGCUUAGAAUAUUCAUCGAUCAAUAAUCAAUUUAAAGAAAAAUUUAUUGUGAAUAAUUUAAGCAUUUGAUUUCAAUGAUAAUGAUUAGCUAUAAUAAUGAUUUACAUUAAAAGCGAAAAAUUAUGUGAAUUUUUUUCUUGCAUUACACAUAUAUAAAAAUGAUUUUUAAUGAAUGAUUUAUGAAAUUACACAACUAUAUAAUAUUGCUAUAUCGUUUUUUGUAUAAUUGCGUUGUCAUAAUCAUUGCGAACUACUCAUUUCCUUCUCCAAAAGAUAUGUGUAAAUAAUUUCGCAUAAAAAUUUGAUUAAUUUACUUUAAAAUAUAAUGCACGCUGCAAGGAAAAAAUUUACAUAAUUUUUCAUUUCUAAUAUCAUAAUUCAAUAUGAACUCGAGAGCUUUAAAGGUAAUCGUGAUUAUUUAUAUCAAUAUAUUCAUAAGUAUUGCAUGUAUGUGUCUAUGUAUAAAUAAAGAUACGUAAGUUUAUAGGUAAUCUUAAUUAAUUAAGACAAUGAUUAAUAA
Cataglyphis hispanica is the source of this 3102-nucleotide RNA transcript. It is a transcript of the gene named excitatory amino acid transporter-like, with no coding region annotated. Lineage: Eukaryota; Metazoa; Arthropoda; Insecta; Hymenoptera; Formicidae. The record is from RefSeq and is a predicted model, not a curated record. The transcript is spliced from 11 exons.